GCUCUCGACAUAAUCGGAGAAACGGCUAUGGGAGCACAUGUCGAUUCUCAAACCCAUAAGGAUAAUGCCUACGCUCAUGCAAUUCAAGAUAUUUCCUCAUGUGUUCUUCAAUGGUUCACAAAACCAUGGUAUUGGUUUUCUCCU
Molecule: long non-coding RNA, 144 nt
Organism: Centruroides sculpturatus (bark scorpion)
Lineage: Eukaryota; Metazoa; Arthropoda; Arachnida; Scorpiones; Buthidae
Exons: 3
Source: RefSeq, a predicted model, not a curated record